This 290-nucleotide ribosomal RNA is filed under the name uncultured bacterium. RNAcentral's name for it is "partial 16S ribosomal RNA". It matches the Rfam family "Bacterial small subunit ribosomal RNA", at positions 773 to 1060 of the family's 1533-position model. The record is from RNAcentral.
GUGGAUUAGAUACCCUGGUAGUCCACGCCCUAAACUAUGUCAACUGGUUGUCGGGGGAUUAACUCCCUUGGUAACGAAGCUAACGCGUGAAGUUGACCGCCUGGGGAGUACGGCCGCAAGGUUAAAACUCAAAGGAAUUGACGGGGACCCGCACUAGCGGUGGAUUAUGUGGAUUAAUUCGAUGCAACGCGAAAAACCUUACCUACCCUUGACAUGUACGGAAUCCUUCAGAGAUGGAGGAGUGCCCGAAAGGGAACCGUAACACAGGUGCUGCAUGGUUGUCGUCAACU